UACAGAGGUCUCAAGCGUUGUUCGGAUUUAUUGGGCGUAAAGGGUGCGCAGGCCGCAUGGUAAGUCUGGUGUGAAAUCCUGGGGCUUAACCCCAGAAUUGCACUGGAUACUGCCGUGCUAGAGGACUGGAGAGGAGAUUGGAAUUCACGGUGUAGCAGUGAAAUGCGUAGAUAUCGUGAGGAAGACCAGUGGCGAAGGCGAAUCUCUGGACAGUUCCUGACGCUCAUGCACGAAGGCCAGGGGAGCAAACGGG
RNAcentral lists this ribosomal RNA (253 nucleotides) under uncultured bacterium. Its description in RNAcentral is "partial 16S ribosomal RNA". It matches the Rfam family "Bacterial small subunit ribosomal RNA", at positions 524 to 776 of the family's 1533-position model. The record is from RNAcentral.